GGAAGAAAUAGGUCUUCACUAAAAAUUGGCAAAUAGUGAAUUAUUCUGAGAUAACUACACAACGAUAAAGUGAGUGAAGCGGAAGGACCAAUGGGCUUUGGGGGACGUCUGUAAAAAAAUGAAUAGGCUAUACCAUACCACAAAAACUGCAUCAAACAGGAGGGAGGAUUGAGAGCAAUCUAUCGCAUAACAACACUCCAACACUCACAACAUAAUGAAAAAAAGACGCAUAUAUCAGUUAAAAAAAAG
Molecule: non-coding RNA, 249 nt
Organism: Pelobates cultripes (western spadefoot toad)
Lineage: Eukaryota; Metazoa; Chordata; Amphibia; Anura; Pelobatidae
Source: the annotation of a GenBank genome assembly